UACGGGGGGGGCAAGCGUUGUUCGGAAUUACUGGGCGUAAAGGGCGCGUAGGCGGGUCGCUAAGUUGAAUGUGAAAACUCUGGGCUUAACCCAGAGCCUGCAUUCAAUACUGGCGGGCUAGAGUUCUGGAGGGGAUAGCGGAAUUCCUGGUGUAGCGGUGAAAUGCGUAGAUAUCAGGAGGAACACCGGUGGCGAAGGCGGCUAUCUGGACAGAGUCUGACGCUGAGGCGCGAAAGCUAGGGGAGCAAACAGG
This 253-nucleotide ribosomal RNA is filed under the name uncultured bacterium. RNAcentral's name for it is "partial 16S ribosomal RNA". It matches the Rfam family "Bacterial small subunit ribosomal RNA", at positions 524 to 776 of the family's 1533-position model. The record is from RNAcentral.